UUCAGCUAUGGUGACAUGGUUCCAAAGACCAUCGCAGGCAAGAUUUUUGGCUCAAUCUGCUCUUUGAGUGGAGUCUUGGUCAUCGCACUGCCUGUUCCCGUAAUCGUCUCGAAC
Molecule: regulatory RNA element, 114 nt
Organism: Lepisosteus oculatus (spotted gar)
Lineage: Eukaryota; Metazoa; Chordata; Actinopteri; Semionotiformes; Lepisosteidae
Rfam family: Potassium channel RNA editing signal
About the family: This family represents a group of sequences related to the human potassium channel Kv1.1 hairpin element which directs the efficient modification of an adenosine to inosine by an adenosine deaminase acting on RNA (ADAR). The ADAR modification causes an isoleucine/valine recoding event which lies in the ion-conducting pore of the potassium channel.
Source: Rfam